RNAcentral lists this transfer RNA (73 nucleotides) under Daphnia pulex (common water flea). It matches the Rfam family "tRNA". Rfam says of the family: Transfer RNA (tRNA) molecules are approximately 80 nucleotides in length. Their secondary structure includes four short double-helical elements and three loops (D, anti-codon, and T loops). Lineage: Eukaryota; Metazoa; Arthropoda; Branchiopoda; Diplostraca; Daphniidae. The record is from Rfam by way of RNAcentral.
ACCCGGUUAGCUGAGACGGUAGAGCGCGGGACUUUUAAUCCUGAGGUCGAGGGUUCAAGUCCCUCAUCGGGCG